RNAcentral lists this transfer RNA (73 nucleotides) under Hyalella azteca. Its description in RNAcentral is "tRNA-Thr". It matches the Rfam family "tRNA". From Rfam's summary of the family: Transfer RNA (tRNA) molecules are approximately 80 nucleotides in length. Lineage: Eukaryota; Metazoa; Arthropoda; Malacostraca; Amphipoda; Hyalellidae. The record is from Rfam by way of RNAcentral.
GCCUCCAUAGCUCAGUGGCUAGAGCACUGGUCUUGUAAACCAGGGGUCGGGAGUUCAAUUCUCCCUGGAGGCA